AUUGAACGCUGGCGGCAUGCUUUACACAUGCAAGUCGAACGGCAGCGGGGACUUCGGUCCGCCGGCGAGUGGCGAACGGGUGAGUAACGCAUCGGAACGUGCCUAUCAGUGGGGGAUAACGCUUCGAAAGGAGUGCUAAUACCGCAUAUUCUCUGAGGAGGAAAGCAGGGGACCUUCGGGCCUUGCGCUGAUAGAGCGGCCGAUGUCGGAUUAGCUAGUUGGUGAGGUAAAGGCUCACCAAGGCGACGAUCCGUAGCGGGUCUGAGAGGAUGAUCCGCCACACUGGGACUGAGACACGGCCCAGACUCCCACGGGAGGCAGCAGUGGGGAAUUUUGGACAAUGGGCGAAAGCCUGAUCCAGCCAUGCCGCGUGAGUGAAGAAGGCCUUCGGGUUGUAAAGCUCUUUUGUCCGGGAGGAAAUCCUGGCCUCUAAUACAGGUCGGGGAUGACAGUACUGGAAGAAUAAGCACCGGCUAACUACGUGCCAGCCGCCGCGGUAA
RNAcentral lists this ribosomal RNA (500 nucleotides) under uncultured bacterium. RNAcentral describes it as "partial 16S ribosomal RNA". It matches the Rfam family "Bacterial small subunit ribosomal RNA", at positions 30 to 523 of the family's 1533-position model. The record is from RNAcentral.